RNAcentral lists this transfer RNA (72 nucleotides) under termite gut metagenome. RNAcentral's name for it is "tRNA-Trp". It matches the Rfam family "tRNA". From Rfam's summary of the family: Transfer RNA (tRNA) molecules are approximately 80 nucleotides in length. Their secondary structure includes four short double-helical elements and three loops (D, anti-codon, and T loops). The record is from RNAcentral.
AUGUAUAUGGUGUAGUGGUAACAUUGUAGUCUCCAAAACUACCGUCCAAAGUUCGAGUCUUUGUAUACGUGC